This 450-nucleotide ribosomal RNA is filed under the name uncultured bacterium. Its description in RNAcentral is "partial 16S ribosomal RNA". It matches the Rfam family "Bacterial small subunit ribosomal RNA", at positions 354 to 796 of the family's 1533-position model. The record is from RNAcentral.
GUGGGGAAUCUUCCGCAAUGGACGAAAGUCUGACGGAGCAACGCCGCGUGAGUGAAGAAGGUUUUCGGAUCGUAAAGCUCUUUCGUUAGGGACGAACGUGCUCUUUGUGAAUAAUGAGGAGUAAUGACGGUACCUAAAUAAGAAGCCACGGCUAACUACGUGCCAGCAGCCGCGGUAAUACGUAGGUGGCAAGCGUUGUCCGGAAUUAUUGGGCGUAAAGCGCGCGCAGGCGGGAUAUCAAGUCUGUCUUAAAAGUGCGAGGCUCAACCUCGUGAGGGGAAAGAAACUGGUAUUCUUGAGUGUCGGAGAGGAAAGUGGAAUUCCAAGUGUAGCGGUGAAAUGCGUAGAGAUUUGGAAGAACACCAGUGGCGAAGGCGACUUUCUGGACGAUGUCUGACGCUGAGGCGCGAAAGCUAGGGGAGCGAACGGGAUUAGAUACCCUGGUAGUCC